AUGAAUACCUACGAAUUCCACCUCCUUGACUUUACCCCCAAUGCCGUUCUGACCAUGGCAGUUUUCGCACAUCUCUGCGAAAACUUUGUCGGAGUCCACCCCAGUGUAGCUCUCUUCCGCCAUUUCUUUAUACCCCGAGUAGAGAGAGGAGAGCCUCUAUCCAGCGGAAUCGCCUGGAUCUCAAGGGCCGGCAAGAAGGAAACGUAUCUGGAGGGAGAAUUCCGCGGCAAGUGGGAGGAGUGGAGAGCAGACUGGUGCUGGAUUGACGAGGAGAACCCGCAGCCAUUCACCACCCGGCGCAAAAACCCAGUAGCACGCGGCAGCGAUUGGAGUGACGUGGCCCCGGAAGACGACAGGCUGAAGAUUGCUGUCACCCGGAUCCUGCGCCUCAGGCUUGCCGGGCUUACUACAGGCGCUGUUGGCGCAGACUUUCUUCGCCGCCGCAUCGCCCCCCUGCAGGAACGAGGGAGGCCCACUUGGGAGUUCAAGAAUGCGGCAGAUAUCAUGAGGCUGCGGCCGGGCCUCAACUACAACUUCACUGUCCUGGAGCUCCACGCGAUGCUGCAGGAGCUGUUCAAGUAUGACCUCCAACAUCCCGAGGUCUUCAGGUUGCUGGGGGGCGUCGUUCCGCUGUGCAACAAUUCCUCGCUCGACCGCAUCCGUGCAAUGAUGCCGGAGUGCGACUCGCACGGAAUUGUGCCAACUUGGCAGGAGCCCGCAGACGACGUCGUGCAGCAGUUCUUCGAUGACUUGGUGGAAGUGCCGAUCCGCUCCGACGAGAAGGAUGGCCUCACCCGCGACACCACCGAUGCGGAGUUUGCACUCAUCGCCACUAGGCUGGAAGAGGCGGCGGCAGCCGCGGCCGCGGGCGAAUUUGGAUUCACCGUGGAGGAGGCAGAUGCAGCAGAGGCGGCAAGCCGUGCCGAGCGAGGGGAGCCCGCCGGCAAGAAGGAGCUUGCCGGACGUGACGCUGAGCCAAGCGAGCCCGCCAAGGAUACGAGCGGCUCGCUGAACAUCAACUCUUCUUCCUCCUCAUCUUCAGGCAGCUCGCCGCAAGCAGAGCCUCCAUCCCCACCAAGAAGGCGUCUCCGCAAGGCCGGUGACGUGGCGGAGCGGCAAGCGGGUCAACAGUCGCCACGCCGCGUGACGCGCUCCACCGCGACAACCACCGUUGCUGCGGGAGCGCUUCAUGCGGCGACGGCAACUGGAGCGGAGUCUAGCCGGACCACCGCUUCAGUUCCUGCCGCUGCUCACGCCGCGCCGGCAGCCGGAGUGGAGUCGUCUCAGACCACCGCCACUGCUCCCGUCAAGCGGCCAAGGGAAGCUUCUCCUCCGCCUCCUCGCGCCGGGCGCGCGCCGGACUUCGACUUCUCCGCGUUCAGCUCCGACGAGGAGGAAGAAGAAGAGUAA
RNAcentral lists this ribosomal RNA (1410 nucleotides) under Triticum aestivum (bread wheat). Its description in RNAcentral is "partial small subunit ribosomal RNA". The record is from RNAcentral. Lineage: Eukaryota; Viridiplantae; Streptophyta; Magnoliopsida; Poales; Poaceae.